UUCCAAGAUCAUUGGUGUUAGAUGUGUUAGAGGUUCUUGGAGGGUUGCUUUAACGAUGCUAACACUUUUAUUUACAUUUGUUGUUAGGGCUAUAAUAUAGAGCACCCCAUACAUAGCCAAAAAUGCAUAUAUCAAGUCUAAACAUCCGUGUGGGUUAUUUUAUUUAAAGAAUGUAAAGACACCCAGACAGGAACAUGAGAAGAAAC
Molecule: non-coding RNA, 206 nt
Organism: Pelobates cultripes (western spadefoot toad)
Lineage: Eukaryota; Metazoa; Chordata; Amphibia; Anura; Pelobatidae
Source: the annotation of a GenBank genome assembly